RNAcentral lists this ribosomal RNA (538 nucleotides) under uncultured bacterium. RNAcentral describes it as "bacterial SSU rRNA". It matches the Rfam family "Bacterial small subunit ribosomal RNA", at positions 8 to 522 of the family's 1533-position model. The record is from RNAcentral.
AGAGUUUGAUCAUGGCUCAGAACGAACGCUGGCGGCGUACUUAACACAUGCAAGUCGGACGAGAAAGGAGACUUCGGUCUCUGAGUACAGUGGCGCACGGGUGCGUAACACGUAAGCAAUCUACCACGAACUCUGGGAUAACCCUCCGAAAGGAGGGCUAAUACUGGAUAGGGUCCCCGAGGUGUAGGCUGCGGGGGGAAAACGGGCCUCUGUUUUAUGCUCGUGGUUCGGGAUGAGCUUGCGGCCCAUUAGCUUGUUGGUAGGGUAACGGCCUACCAAGGCGACGAUGGGUAGCUGGUCUGAGAGGAUGAUCAGCCACACUGGCACUGAGACACGGGCCAGACUCCUACGGGAGGCAGCAGUGGGGAAUUUUGCGCAAUGGGCGAAAGCCUGACGCAGUAACGCCGCGUGGAGGAUGAAGGCCUUCGGGUUGUAAACUCCUGUCAGGAGGAACGACGGAGAAAGGGCGAUAAACCUUUUCCUUCAGACGGUACCUCCAAAGGAAGCCCCGGCUAAUUCCGUGCCAGCAGCCGCGGUA